Rhododendron vialii is the source of this 439-nucleotide long non-coding RNA. RefSeq lists it as uncharacterized. NCBI's taxonomy places the organism in Eukaryota, Viridiplantae, Streptophyta, Magnoliopsida, Ericales, Ericaceae. The record is from RefSeq and is a predicted model, not a curated record. The transcript has 2 exons.
CCAACAUUUAUCUGGUGCUAACAUAAAGGAAAUAUACAUAAUUAUAUCCACGCAUAUAAAUCUAACGUAUAUUCCACAUGGAAUUGCAAAUCUUGAUAGGAAAAAACUGAGAAUUGCAAAUCUUGAUAAUAAUAAUAAUAAUAAUAAGACUAAGAAUUGCACACACAAAAUCAAAAAACUUAUAAGGCCAAAAGGGAAUUCCGCAAGGGUGAUACCCAGCUCCGAUGGGAAACGGAGAGAGAUGUGAAUUCUGGGUUUCCUUUAGGGUCUGGAUUUCAACGAAACAACUCAACCAAAACAGGUAACAAAAUAGAAAAAUCAACAACCAAAAACCCUUCCCUUUUUUUCCUGUCAAGCAAUUAACCAAAACAAGGCAGAGAACAACUCACCUAGAAACUAACACAGCCGGGCUCUCAGAGGAAAUACGGAGUUUCGAAGC